UGAUUUUGGCUCAGGUCAUGAUCUCAUGGUUUGUGAGCUCGAGCCCCUCCUUGUGUUCUUUGCUGACAGCUGGCAAGCCUGGAGCCUGCUUCAGAUUGUGUCUCCCUC
Hyaena hyaena (striped hyena) is the source of this 108-nucleotide long non-coding RNA. RefSeq lists it as uncharacterized. The record is from RefSeq and is a predicted model, not a curated record. Lineage: Eukaryota; Metazoa; Chordata; Mammalia; Carnivora; Hyaenidae. The transcript is spliced from 3 exons.